NNNNNNNNNNNNNNNGAUCCAUCAGCUCCAUUCACCAUGGAGGUUGACGCUUCUGACACCGGGGUUGGAGCUGUCCUGUCCCAAGUUUCAUCCUCUGAUCAGCUUCUCCAUCCCUGCGCGUUCUAUUCCCGGCGUCUUUCCCCAGCCGAGCAGAACUAUGAUGUUGGUGAUCGGGAGUUGUUGGCGGUGAAGCUGGCUUUGGAGGAGUGGCGUCACUGGUUGGAAGGAGCAGAACACCCGAUUACCAUUUGGACAGAUCAUAAAAACCUAUCAUACCUGAAGGAGGCUAAAAGACUCAAUCCCCGUCAAUCCCGUUGGUCCCUGUUUUUCUCCAGAUUUAACUUCACCAUCUCUUACAGACCCGGUUCAAAGAACGUUAAACCAGACGCCCUUUCUCGACAAUAUGCCUCCGACAGGGAAGUGGAGCCUUCCACCAUCAUCCCUGCCUCCUGCAUAGUCGGCUCUAUCACAUGGGACAUUACCAACAAGGUCCUGGAGGCUCAACGGCAGGAACCCGACCCAGGUACCGGUCCUCCUAAUAAGAUUUUUGUUCCCACCAGUACCUGGGGCCCACUCAUUCACUGGGCCCACACUGCCAAGUUCUCCAUUCAUCCAGGUCUGGGAAGGACCAUCUCUCUAAUCCGAAGGACAUUUUGGUGGCCCUCCAUGUACCGGGAUGUUAAGGAGUAUAUCAGUGCCUGUCAGGUAUGUGCCAGACACAAGUCUAGUAACCAGCCUCCUCAGGGUCUUCUCCAACCUCUGCCUGUGCCCCAUCGACCAUGGUCUCAUAUAGCUCUGGACUUCGUUACUGGUCUCCCUCUGUCUAAGGGCUUCACCGUCAUACUCAUCAUUGUCGACCGCUUCUCAAAAGCCUGUCAUUUGGUUCCCCUGAAAUCCCUUCCUUCUUCUACCGAAACAGCCAACCUGCUCAUCAAACACCUUUUCCGCCUGCAUGGAUUACCCAGCGAGAUCCUCUCUGAUCGUGGACCCCAGUUCGUUGCCCGAGUAUGGACUGACUUUGCUAAACACCUGGGAGCCAAGGUUAGUCUCANGCCUGCAUGGGUUACCCAGCGAGAUCCUCUCUGAUCGUGGACCUCAGUUCGUUGCCCGAGUGUGGACUGACUUUGCUAAACACCUGGGAGC
RNAcentral lists this long non-coding RNA (1143 nucleotides) under Nothobranchius furzeri (turquoise killifish). RNAcentral describes it as "lncRNA (ENSNFUG00015016683.1)". The record is from RNAcentral. Lineage: Eukaryota; Metazoa; Chordata; Actinopteri; Cyprinodontiformes; Nothobranchiidae.